AGAAGCCGAAAACAUACUCCUCACUCAUUGCAUGACUUCAAGGCAGACAUAAUAAAAAGUUAUUGCAGAUAAAAUGGGCAAGAAAUAAGGGAUAUCUUGGAGCGCUGGCCUGCAUUAUCAGAUGCAACACAGAUAAAUGAAGAAUUCAAGAGGAUAACCACUGUAGGUCUUGAAUCCACAUUUAUGGCCACACUUGACAAAUGCACCCAAAACUAAUGGACCUGGCCUCAUCCAGGGGAGGAGCUAAAGGGGAAAUAAUCGGAAGGAUUAAGGAUAUGCUUCUUGAGAACAAUGCAGUUGAAGUAUGGAGAGAAGUAGCCAUUCACUGUCUUGUUGUCUAUCUUGGAGAGAAAGAAGAGGAUCUUUU
This is a non-coding RNA of Danio rerio (zebrafish), 367 nucleotides long. NCBI's taxonomy places the organism in Eukaryota, Metazoa, Chordata, Actinopteri, Cypriniformes, Danionidae. The record is from Ensembl.